This 867-nucleotide ribosomal RNA is filed under the name uncultured bacterium. RNAcentral's name for it is "bacterial SSU rRNA". It matches the Rfam family "Bacterial small subunit ribosomal RNA", at positions 659 to 1532 of the family's 1533-position model. The record is from RNAcentral.
GGGUAGAAUCCAGGUGUAGCGGUGAAUGCGUAGAGAUCUGGAGGAAUACCGGUGGCGAAGGNGCCCCCNGACGAAGACUGACGCUCAGGUGCCGAAAGCGUGGGGAGCAAACAGGAUUAGAUACCUGGUAGUCCACGCGUAAACGAUGCCGACUUGGAGGUUGUGCCCUUGAGGCGUGGCUUCCGGAGCUAACGCGUUAAGUCGACCGCUGGGGAGUACGGCCGCAAGGUUAAAACUCAAAUGAAUUGACGGGGGCCCGCACAAGCGGUGGAGCAUGUGGUUUAAUUCGAUGCAACGCGAAGAACCUUACCUGGUCUUGACAUCCACGGAAGUUUUCAGAGAUGAGAAUGUGCCUUCGGGAACCGUGAGACAGGUGCUGCAUGGCUGUCGUCAGCUCGUGUUGUGAAAUGUUGGGUUAAGUCCCGCAACGAGCGCAACCCUUAUCCUUUGUUGCCAGCGGUCCGGCCGGGAACUCAAAGGAGACUGCCAGUGAUAAACUGGAGGAAGGUGGGGAUGACGUCAAGUCAUCAUGGCCCUUACGACCAGGGCUACACACGUGCUACAAUGGCGCAUACAAAGAGAAGCGACCUCGCGAGAGCAAGCGGACCUCAUAAAGUGCGUCGUAGUCCGGAUUGGAGUCUGCAACUCGACUCCAUGAAGUCGGAAUCGCUAGUAAUCGUGGAUCAGAAUGCCACGGUGAAUACGUUCCCGGGCCUUGUACACACCGCCCGUCACACCAUGGGAGUGGGUUGCAAAAGAAGUAGGUAGCUUAACCUUCGGGAGGGCGCUUACCACUUUGUGAUUCAUGACUGGGGUGAAGUCGUAACAAGGUAACCGUAGGGGAACCUGCGGCUGGAUCACCUCCUU